CUCAGCCAGCAUCCACAGCCUGCUGGUCGGGGACAUGGUUCAGGAUCUGGAUCUCAGCUACGAGCGCACAGCUGCUCUUUUCUGCUCCGCGCUGCACGCGCUCAUGAAGGCACUGGCGAGGUGGUUUCCUUCCACUUGUAGCAGGACCAGU
This is a long non-coding RNA of Oreochromis aureus, 151 nucleotides long. RefSeq lists it as uncharacterized. The record is from RefSeq and is a predicted model, not a curated record. NCBI's taxonomy places the organism in Eukaryota, Metazoa, Chordata, Actinopteri, Cichliformes, Cichlidae. The transcript has 3 exons.